RNAcentral lists this ribosomal RNA (899 nucleotides) under Fusarium oxysporum f. sp. tuberosi. RNAcentral's name for it is "LSU rRNA". It matches the Rfam family "Eukaryotic large subunit ribosomal RNA", at positions 38 to 966 of the family's 3401-position model. Lineage: Eukaryota; Fungi; Ascomycota; Sordariomycetes; Hypocreales; Nectriaceae. The record is from RNAcentral.
GCAUAUCAAUAAGCGGAGGAAAAGAAACCAACAGGGAUUGCCCUAGUAACGGCGAGUGAAGCGGCAACAGCUCAAAUUUGAAAUCUGGCUCUCGGGCCCGAGUUGUAAUUUGUAGAGGAUACUUUUGAUGCGGUGCCUUCCGAGUUCCCUGGAACGGGACGCCAUAGAGGGUGAGAGCCCCGUCUGGUUGGAUGCCAAAUCUCUGUAAAGUUCCUUCAACGAGUCGAGUAGUUUGGGAAUGCUGCUCUAAAUGGGAGGUAUAUGUCUUCUAAAGCUAAAUACCGGCCAGAGACCGAUAGCGCACAAGUAGAGUGAUCGAAAGAUGAAAAGCACUUUGAAAAGAGAGUUAAAAAGUACGUGAAAUUGUUGAAAGGGAAGCGUUUAUGACCAGACUUGGGCUUGGUUAAUCAUCUGGGGUUCUCCCCAGUGCACUUUUCCAGUCCAGGCCAGCAUCAGUUUUCCCCGGGGGAUAAAGGCGGCGGGAAUGUGGCUCUCUUCGGGGAGUGUUAUAGCCCACCGUGUAAUACCCUGGGGGGGACUGAGGUUCGCGCAUCUGCAAGGAUGCUGGCGUAAUGGUCAUCAACGACCCGUCUUGAAACACGGACCAAGGAGUCGUCUUCGUAUGCGAGUGUUCGGGUGUCAAACCCCUACGCGUAAUGAAAGUGAACGCAGGUGAGAGCUUCGGCGCAUCAUCGACCGAUCCUGAUGUUCUCGGAUGGAUUUGAGUAAGAGCAUACGGGGCCGGACCCGAAAGAAGGUGAACUAUGCCUGUAUAGGGUGAAGCCAGAGGAAACUCUGGUGGAGGCUCGCAGCGGUUCUGACGUGCAAAUCGAUCGUCAAAUAUGGGCAUGGGGGGCGAAAGACUAAUCGAACCUUCUAGUAGCUGGUUUCCGCCGAAG